GUCUGCAUGGUGUAGUGGUAGCACACUUCGUUUACAAGAGCGCGUCUUUUAACCCGAAUAGGUCCCAGGUUCGAACCCUGGUGCAGACA
This is a non-coding RNA of Purpureocillium lavendulum, 89 nucleotides long. NCBI's taxonomy places the organism in Eukaryota, Fungi, Ascomycota, Sordariomycetes, Hypocreales, Ophiocordycipitaceae. The record is from the annotation of a GenBank genome assembly.